This 497-nucleotide ribosomal RNA is filed under the name uncultured bacterium. RNAcentral's name for it is "partial 16S ribosomal RNA". It matches the Rfam family "Bacterial small subunit ribosomal RNA", at positions 28 to 507 of the family's 1533-position model. The record is from RNAcentral.
GAUGAACGCUGGCGGCGUGCCUAAUACAUGCAAGUCGAGCGAACGGAUGAGAAGCUUGCUUCUUUGAUGUUAGCGGCGGACGGGUGAGUAACACGUGGAUAACCUACCUAUAAGACUGGGAUAACUUCGGGAAACCGUAGCUAAUACCGGAUAAUAUUUUGAACCGCAUGGUUCUAAAGUGAAAGAUGGUCUUGCUGUCACUUAUAGAUGGACCCGCGCUGCAUUAGCUAGUUGGUAAGGUAACGGCUUACCAAGGCAACGAUGCAUAGCCGACCUGAGAGGGUGAUCGGCCACACUGGAACUGAGACACGGUCCAGACUCCUACGGGAGGCAGCAGUAGGGAAUCUUCCGCAAUGGGCGAAAGCCUGACGGAGCAACGCCGCGUGAGUGAUGAAGGUCUUCGGAUCGUAAAACUCUGUUAUUAGGGAAGAACAAAUGUGUAAGUAACUGUGCACGUCUUGACGGUACCUAAUCAGAAAGCCACGGCUAACUACGUG